AUGCAUCUAUUUGACAGACCUGGAGCUGUUAACUGUCUGCUGGUAAGGUUCCAGGGCAAAUGCAAGAAAAAAGGGUCCUCAUGUUUUCUUUCUGUCUGACUGUGGCAGCCAAGAUUGAAUGGGGGAAUACAGUG
Pteropus vampyrus (large flying fox) is the source of this 134-nucleotide small nucleolar RNA. The record is from Ensembl. NCBI's taxonomy places the organism in Eukaryota, Metazoa, Chordata, Mammalia, Chiroptera, Pteropodidae.